Molecule: ribosomal RNA, 253 nt
Filed under: uncultured bacterium
Lineage: Bacteria
Description: partial 16S ribosomal RNA
Rfam family: Bacterial small subunit ribosomal RNA
Source: RNAcentral
UACAGAGGUCUCAAGCGUUGUUCGGAUUCAUUGGGCGUAAAGGGUGCGUAGGUGGCGCUGUAAGUCGGGUGUGAAAUUUCGGAGCUUAACUCCGAAACUGCAUUCGAUACUGCGGUGCUUGAGGACUGGAGAGGAGACUGGAAUUCAUGGUGUAGCAGUGAAAUGCGUAGAUAUCAUUUGGAACGCCAAUGGUGAAAACAGGUAGCUGGGAGUGUGCUGACGCUGAGACACGAAAGCCAGGGGAGCAAACGGG